Molecule: ribosomal RNA, 493 nt
Filed under: uncultured bacterium
Lineage: Bacteria
Description: partial 16S ribosomal RNA
Rfam family: Bacterial small subunit ribosomal RNA
Source: RNAcentral
AUUGAACGCUGGCGGCAGGCCUAACACAUGCAAGUCGAGCGGAAGGGGCUUCGGCCCCGAGAGCGGCGGACGGGUGAGGAUAGCGUGGGAAUCUGCCUGUAGAUGGGGGAUAGCCCGGAGAAAUCCGGAUUAAUACCGCAUAAUACCUGAGGGUUAAAGUGGAGGAUCGCAGACUUCACGUCUACAGAUGAGCCCACGUCAGAUUAGCUAGUUGGUAGGGUAAAGGCCUACCAAGGCGACGAUCUGUAGCUGGCCUGAGAGGGUGGCCAGCCACACUGGAACUGAGACACGGUCCAGACUCCUACGGGAGGCAGCGGUGGGGAAUAUUGGACAAUGGGCGCAAGCCUGAUCCAGCCAUGCCGCGUGUGUGAAGAAGGCCUUCGGGUUGUAAAGCACUUUAAGUUGGGAGGAAGGUUCCAAGGCUAAUACCUUUGGGAAUUGACGUUACCGACAGAAUAAGCACCGGCUAAUUCCGUGCCAGCCGCCGCAGUAA